This 252-nucleotide ribosomal RNA is filed under the name uncultured bacterium. RNAcentral describes it as "partial 16S ribosomal RNA". It matches the Rfam family "Bacterial small subunit ribosomal RNA", at positions 524 to 776 of the family's 1533-position model. The record is from RNAcentral.
UACGUAGGUCCCGAGCGUUGUCCGGAUUUAUUGGGCGUAAAGCGAGCGCAGGCGGUUUGAUAAGUCUGAAGUAAAAGGCUGUGGCUUAACCAUAGUAUGCUUUGGAAACUGUCAAACUUGAGUGCAGAAGGGGAGAGUGGAAUUCCAUGUGUAGCGGUGAAAUGCGUAGAUAUAUGGAGGAACACCGGUGGCGAAAGCGGCUCUCUGGUCUGUAACUGACGCUGAGGCUCGAAAGCGUGGGGAGCGAACAGG